AACCGCAUCCUUUCUCUAUUCAACGCGUGUUAUAGUAAAAAUACAUUUGGUUUCCGUUACAACAAAGAUUACAAUGUGCGUAGUGUCAUUGUGCCAGUCGACAGUGGAAAAAGAUGUCGAUUCCACUACGCAUCUGUUCGGCUUGUAACCUCAUUUUGGCCCUCAUCGUUCUAUUCGUACAGUCUAUGAUUCUCAGUAACUACAAAAACCUUCAAGUUAAAACCUACUCUCAAUACACCGCGGUGGGAAUAUGGACUGCUUUACUGCUGGCAUGUAACGGGACCAGCAUGUUACUCUGCUUGAAGCGCAAGUUUUUGUGCAAACCCCAACAAAUAAUAGGUACAUGGCUGGUAUUUUUCUCUGCAUCGCAACGCUCUUGGCCGGAAUUUUUACCAUCGGGAUUGCGGCUGGAACUUUCUACGGGCUCUUAUCGGAAUCUCCGGCACCUCAAACGGCCUUCGGAUGGUCUCAACUAGGUUAUUCUUUUUGUAUAUCUUCUAAAACAGAUGAAUUCAAGUCGUUGAAGGUAUUGGAGGGCACCCUAUUCGGAUGUGGUCUUGCAUCGAUUUUCGUCAAUUCCCUAUCUAUAAUGUUUCUACAUUUGGAAAAGCUCGUGUCGUACGAAGAAACUGUUUCGUCCGAUUUGCUUUCAAAUCGAAAUUUCAACAGAUAUUGACAAA
Daphnia carinata is the source of this 680-nucleotide RNA transcript. RefSeq lists it as uncharacterized. The record is from RefSeq and is a predicted model, not a curated record. Lineage: Eukaryota; Metazoa; Arthropoda; Branchiopoda; Diplostraca; Daphniidae. The transcript has 4 exons.